CAUUUGACUUACAACUUAACCACCGAAGUCCAAGCUCAAGGGCUCUAGGGACCUAAACACAUGAAGCACCUACUACCCACCAAAAUAUAUGGGUUAAGGCUAGGUAGGACUCUCAGCUAGGUCCGAGUCCUGUAAGAUAAAUACACACAUUUAGACCCGACCGGGUUAGGUCCAACCCUGGGACCCAGGUCAAUUCUAGCUUGGGGGCAACCCUACUUUUUCAUGGCCUUUCUUCAGCCAAGACCUGUG
RNAcentral lists this long non-coding RNA (249 nucleotides) under Amborella trichopoda. RNAcentral describes it as "long non-coding RNA (ATRI_LNC004451)". The record is from RNAcentral. Lineage: Eukaryota; Viridiplantae; Streptophyta; Magnoliopsida; Amborellales; Amborellaceae.